UACGGGGGGGGCAAGCGUUGUUCGGAAUUACUGGGCGUAAAGGGUUCGUAGGUGGCCUGCUAAGUCAGACGUGAAAUCCCUCGGCUUAACCGGGGAACUGCGUCUGAGACUGGCGGGCUUGAGUACAGGAGAGGAACGCGGAAUUCCAGGUGUAGCGGUGAAAUGCGUAGAUAUCUGGAGGAACACCGGUGGCGAAGGCGGCGUUCUGGACUGUUUCUGACACUGAGGAACGAAAGCCAGGGGAGCAAACGGG
This 253-nucleotide ribosomal RNA is filed under the name uncultured bacterium. RNAcentral describes it as "partial 16S ribosomal RNA". It matches the Rfam family "Bacterial small subunit ribosomal RNA", at positions 524 to 776 of the family's 1533-position model. The record is from RNAcentral.